RNAcentral lists this ribosomal RNA (422 nucleotides) under Filifactor alocis. RNAcentral describes it as "bacterial SSU rRNA". It matches the Rfam family "Bacterial small subunit ribosomal RNA", at positions 65 to 494 of the family's 1533-position model. Lineage: Bacteria; Bacillati; Bacillota; Clostridia; Peptostreptococcales; Filifactoraceae. The record is from RNAcentral.
UAUUAACAGAACCUUUCGGGGCGAAGAAUAUAGAAGUUAGUGGCGGACGGGUGCGUAACGCGUGGGUAAUCUGCCUUUGUCAAAGGAAUAACUAUUCGAAAGAAUAGCUAAAACCGUAUAACAUAUUAAUAGGGCAUCCUAAUAAUAUCAAAACGAUAGUGGACAAAGAUGAGCCCGCGUCUGAUUAGCUAGUUGGUGAGAUAAAAGCCCACCAAGGCAACGAUCAGUAGCCGACCUGAGAGGGUGAACGGCCACAUUGGAACUGAGACACGGUCCAAACUCCUACGGGAGGCAGCAGUGGGGAAUAUUGCACAAUGGGGGGAACCCUGAUGCAGCAACGCCGCGUGAGUGAAGAAGGCAUUCGUGUCGUAAAACUCUGUAGUAGGGGAAGAAAGAAAUGACAGUACCCUAAAAGAAGCCCC